GGGAUGAGCUGUGGAUAGGGGUGAAAGGCCAAUCAAACUUCGUGAUAGCUGGUUCUCUCCGAAAUGCAUUUAGGUGCAGCGUUGCGUGUUUCUUGCCGGAGGUAGAGCUACUGGAUGGCCGAUGGGCCCUAAAAGGUUACUGACGUCAGCCAAACUCCGAAUGCCGGUAAGUGAGAGCGCAGCAGUGAGACUGUGGGGGAUAAGCUUCAUAGUCGAGAGGGAAACAGCCCAGAUCGCCGGCUAAGGUCCCCAAGUCGUGGCUAAGUGGGAAAGGAUGUGGGACUCCCAAAACAACCAGGAGGUUGGCUUAGAAGCAGCCAUCCUUGAAAGAGUGCGUAAUAGCUCACUGGUCGAGUGGUUCUGCGCCGACAAUGUAGCGGGGCUCAAGUACACCGCCGAAACCGCGGCAAUCAACAUGUGUUUGUUGGUUGGGUAGGGGAGCGUCGUGCACGACGGUGAAGCACCUGGGUAACUUGAUGGUGUGGAGUGUGUGCGAGUGAGAAUGCAGGCAUGAGUAGCGAAAGACGGGUGAGAAACCCGUCCUCCGAAAGACCAAGGGUUCCAGGGUCAAGCUAAUCUGCCCUGGGUAAGUCGGGACCUAAGGCGAGGCCGUCAGGCGUAGUCGAUGGACAACGGGUUGAUAUUCCCGUACCGGCGAAGAACCGCCCAAGUCAAUCCAGUAAUGCUAAGCACCCGAAUACCACGGGUUCUCCUUUGGGAGUUUCUGUGGGGCUAGCGUGCGACCCUAUGCUGGUGCGGCUAACGUAUUAACAGGUGUGACGCAGGAAGGUAGCCGGGCCGGGCAAUGGAAAUGACCUGGUCUAAGGGUGUAGGGCUGCCGGUAGGUAAAUCCGCCGGCUGUAUGCCUGAGACCUGAUGGGCGCCCACAUGGUGGGUGAUCCGGUGAUCCUAUGCUGCCUAGAAAAGCAUCGGCGCGAGGUUCAAACUGCCCGUACCCUAAACCGACA
RNAcentral lists this ribosomal RNA (968 nucleotides) under Aurantiochytrium limacinum. RNAcentral's name for it is "partial Bacterial large subunit ribosomal RNA". It matches the Rfam family "Bacterial large subunit ribosomal RNA", at positions 801 to 1659 of the family's 2925-position model. The record is from RNAcentral. Lineage: Eukaryota; Bigyra; Thraustochytrida; Thraustochytriidae.